Molecule: ribosomal RNA, 626 nt
Filed under: uncultured bacterium
Lineage: Bacteria
Description: bacterial SSU rRNA
Rfam family: Bacterial small subunit ribosomal RNA (bases 1-536)
Source: RNAcentral
CCUACGGGAGGCAGCAGUGAGGAAUAUUGGUCAAUGGGCGCAAGCCUGAACCAGCGACGCCGCGUGCGGGAUGAAGGGGCUUUGCCUCGUAAACCGCUGUCGGGUGGGACGAAAGGUAGCUUUGAGCUACUGGGACGGUACCAUCAAAGGAAGGAUCGGCUAACUACGUGCCAGCAGCCGCGGUAAUACGUAGGAUCCGAGCGUUGUCCGGAGUUACUGGGUGUAAAGGGUGCGUAGGCUGUUCUGUGCGUCAGAGGUGAAAUCCACGAGCUUAACUCGUGGGGUGCCUUUGAUACGGCAGGGCUUGAGUACGAGAGAGGUGCGUGGAAUUCCUGGUGUAGCAGUGAAAUGCGUAGAUAUCAGGAGGAACACCGGUGGCGAAGGCGGCGCACUGGCUCGUAACUGACGCUGAGGCACGAAAGCGUGGGGAUCAAACAGGAUUAGAUACCCUGGUAGUCCACGCCUUAAACGAUGCAUGCUUGGCGUUGGUCUCGCAAGAGAUCAGUGCCGUAGUUAACAGGAUAAGCAUGCCCACCGUGGGAGGUACGAGUCGCGAGGUUAGUAACGUACGAAGUAGAAGUUAGUACGUAGAGAGAGNGACGGACGGACGACGACGGAGGGAGGAG